AGCGAACGCUGGCGGCAGGCCUAACACAUGCAAGUCGAACGAACUCUUCGGAGUUAGUGGCGGACGGGUGAGUAACACGUGGGAACGUGCCUUUUGGUUCGGAAUAACUCAGGGAAACUUGUGCUAAUACCGAAUGUGCCCUUCGGGGGAAAGAUUUAUCGCCAUUAGAGCGGCCCGCGUCUGAUUAGCUAGUUCGUGAGGUAACGGCUCACCAAGGCGACGAUCAGUAGCUGGUCUGAGAGGAUGACCAGCCACACUGGGACUGAGACACGGCCCAGACUCCUACGGGAGGCAGCAGUGGGGAAUCUUGCGCAAUGGGCGAAAGCCUGACGCAGCCAUGCCGCGUGAAUGAUGAAGGUCUUAGGAUUGUAAAAUUCUUUCACCGGGGACGAUAAUGACGGUACCCGGAGAAGAAGCCCCGGCUAACUUCGUG
Molecule: ribosomal RNA, 433 nt
Filed under: uncultured bacterium
Lineage: Bacteria
Description: partial 16S ribosomal RNA
Rfam family: Bacterial small subunit ribosomal RNA
Source: RNAcentral